RNAcentral lists this ribosomal RNA (492 nucleotides) under uncultured bacterium. Its description in RNAcentral is "partial 16S ribosomal RNA". It matches the Rfam family "Bacterial small subunit ribosomal RNA", at positions 29 to 507 of the family's 1533-position model. The record is from RNAcentral.
AGUGAACGCUGGCGGUAGGCCUAACACAUGCAAGUCGAACGGCAGCACAGUAAGAGCUUGCUCUUACGGGUGGCGAGUGGCGGACGGGUGAGGAAUACAUCGGAAUCUACUUUUUCGUGGGGGAUAACGUAGGGAAACUUACGCUAAUACCGCAUACGACCUACGGGUGAAAGCAGGGGAUCUUCGGACCUUGCGCGAUUGAAUGAGCCGAUGUCGGAUUAGCUAGUUGGCGGGGUAAAGGCCCACCAAGGCGACGAUCCGUAGCUGGUCUGAGAGGAUGAUCAGUCACACUGGAACUGAGACACGGUCCAGACUCCUACGGGAGGCAGCAGUGGGGAAUAUUGGACAAUGGGCGAAAGCCUGAUCCAGCCAUACCGCGUGGGUGAAGAAGGCCUUCGGGUUGUAAAGCCCUUUUGUUGGGAAAGAAAAGCAGCAGGUUAAUACCCCGCUGUUCUGACGGUACCAAAAGAAUAAGCACCGGCUAACUUCGUG